GGCAUGAGGAGCUACCUGGGUUCUGUUGUAAACUGGUGGGAGCUGAACCUUUACACCUUCCCUUUAUGUCCCAAAUCCUCACCAAAAUGACUCUGGAGGUGGUUUUCAUGGCAUUGGGUGGUUCUGCCUUCCUCUGCAGCCGUGACACGGGCUAGUGGGAGGCCAUGAUCAAAGUUCAUUUCCUUACAAUCUCUUCUGUGCUUGUUCUGUUAGUUCCAGCUCAGUUCCAACCCGGUGAGAAGUUGAGGAGUUGGCCAUGUACCUGGAGGUGUAUUCUGCAAGAGUAGUCAGUGUGUUACUGCCCUUCCUCAUUUUAGGGUGUUUUAAUGGUGGCAAUUUAGAAAUUAGCCAGAGGAAGAGGAGAGAAGGAGGAAGAUUGGUGACUAUUUGCCAGCCUUGCAUUGCCCUCAGCUGCAGUUCACUUGCAGGAGCUGCUCUAGAGCCUCAUGAGGAAUACGCUGAGUAUUUUCUGCAGCGUUGUCUUAACACUAGCACACAAAAAUGCUUCUUUUUCUCCCAGCUGCUUCUGUGAGAGAUUUCUCAUUCAAAAACAAGUAAAUGGCAUUCCCCUGCACUUCCUGCUGGCAUUUAUGAUUUUGAGAAGAACAGAUUGCCCUGUUAUUUCCCAGCAUUUGGGAUCAUUCCCCUUUGCUAGAGAUAGCACAAGUGCUGUGAGCAGGGUGGGACAGAGCUGUGGCUCCCACUGUGUCCUAGUACAAAGCACAGGAGCUGAUAAAAUGAGGAGGGGAGAGGCUGGACUCUCUGAGAGCUUUACAAGCAAUUAAGUAUUUGGAUACUCUCAUUUCAGGGCUAAAACACAGAAAGGAGGUGCCCAGAGCAAAUAUGAAAGGAGCUGUAAGCCAAACACUGUACCCAUACCAGCUUUUAGCUAAAGAGCUUGAUUUAAGUGGGUUUUAGGCUACCUAGCAUUUUAAAAUUGACAACUCUCACCUAUUUCUAAAGCUUUCAUUCUGAAUACAGGGAAAAAAAAAAGAAAAGGAGGCAGCAUAGUGGUGGGAGCUGCUCUGCACAGUAACAUCUGCUUCCAGGUCUGAAGUCAGUGAGAAAAGGAGAAGAUGGGGAGGAAAGCUUCAGUUGUUUUGGAGCCUGAUCUCUGAUUUCCAGGUGUGAUGGCUCUGCCUGAUUAAAGGAAAGGUUGGUUGGGUGUGGAGCAGAGCCCUGGCAUCCCAGCACUUUCUAUGGUGGGAUAAGGGAGCCUUAAAACGAGCUUACUUGUUAAAAACCUGCUUUAACAGCAUCCUCUGAACUGUUCAGAGCGACAAGAAGUUUUGUCAGUGAAAGUCAAAAACCAGGAGCUUACUUAUUGUCUUAUUUGAACGUAGGAAAUAAAGUAGGAAAUAAAAUGGGGGUGAAGUAGGUUUUAUCUUAGCACCUCAGUUUCAGUGGUGCUACAGAGAGGAGUUUUGAGGUUACACUCCAUAAAGCUCUGGUAGAAAAAAAAAGAAAAUUUUCUUCAUAAAACUUUUUUUGAGUCUUUGUCAGCUGAGUGAAACUUCUGUCUUUAGCCCAGAUUAGUGUCUGGGCUGUAGGGCACAUUUUUGCUACUUACCUUUGAGUGUUAAUGUUGGCUUUUGAGAAAGAUGAUAUUUUUGCCAAAAAUGGAUCAGUAUAAAGUAUUUAAAGCUUUUUAUUCUUUCCCCUGGUACCUUAUUGUAGCUGCUAAACAUUUGCCCACCUGACUGAGCCACCCAGGAGCAGGCACCAGCAUUUCCACAGGCACUGCUCCUGGUGCAGGAUGUUUCAUCCCAGUUUUAGCAGCUGUUUCACACGUGGGUCUCCAUGUUGGGAAUUGGUGUUCAGGAAGUAAUAGUUGGUGGUUUAUGCUUCUGGAGAGGCCCCGAGGCUGCUGUGGUGGCUUUUUGUGUCUCUCUUUACAUGGUUUGUUCUGUUCUCUCCCACUUUCCUGGCUCACUGCAACGAUGUGGAUUUUAAUCUCCAGCAAUUGCAGCAUUGGCUGAACCUGGAGAACUGCACGAGGUCAUGGCUGAGAACACUUGCUUAAAGUUUAAGGUUUUAGCUCUGACUGAUGUUACUCAGACUAACCUGUCAUCCAGUGAUAAGCUGUGACAUGCAGUGAUGCUGGAGCUGAGUGUCCCAGUGGGUGAGCUCUGCUCGUGCCUCCCAGGUUUGAGUGUCAGUUCUCAAACUCUUUCAGAUGAGCCAAAGCACUUUCUUAAGUUUUUCCCUCUUUUCUCCCUUAGUCACUGGUGUCUUCUCUUGUUUCUUAAUGCAUUGGCUCAACAUCUAUUAGCAAGUGAAAAGCAGUUGGUAUUGAUUCAUUGCUGGAAGAUCUAAGUGCAGGGCAGGGCAAAUGCAGCCUGUGGCACAUCUGUGGGUCUGCCUGGAGGGAAAACACCUCUUUAGUGUCUUUGAGACUUUGCCUUUAUUCAAGUGAGACUAGAGUGUGGUUGUGAUUGAUUCCUAGGUAACUGUGGAACUCCAUCUUGUGCUGCCUCUAGAACUUCUCCAGAGGAGCAGGUUGCAGUGUGGCAGUGGGCUGCUCUCCUUUGGAUUUGGCCAUGGUGCAGGCACUGGCACAAUCUCCCUGGCACCAGCAGAUCUUUCUCUUCAUGUGUAGUAGUUCAGGAGUCCACAGUUGCCAGAGUUACCCUCUCCACUACUUAAUUCCUUCAAGCUUUUGGACACCAUAUUGAGAGAUACAUGUGUACAUAUGCUGAGACAGAGACUUGUUACACCCUACUACAAGUACAGCUUUAAACUUCCAAAGUAAUAAACUAUUUAAAGCCAAGAGCCUUAGCAACUCCCAACAUCUGCCAAGAGACAAAAGAGUUUCAAGUUUGUGCUGAAUAUUUGGGCACUUUUAUGCUCGGUGGUGGGUGUCUCCUUUUAGCAAGGAGGCAGCAACAGUAUCCAAAGAUGACAAGGACCUUGGCCACCUUCAUGAAUCACCCCAGAACAGGUAGACAGGCUCCCUCCUUGUGCUCUCAGGAAAAGUCACCUCACUCUCCCAGGGCUGGUGUGAUGGCUUUAUGUGUUGCAUUGGUUGGAAAAGCUCCCUCUUUUUGUGGAACAGUGUUUGUAAUUUAGCAAAAAUGAUGUCUUUGCUGGCAGAGGGGAUGGAUUCCUCUUUUUCCACCCCCAGAGUCCUGUAGCAUUGAGAUGGAGAAGGAGGGAUGUAGAUGAUGGGAAAGGUGGGUGAGUUGGGAAGGAGCUGGACCUGGUGAAGGGCUGGAGCCAUAGAGCCACUGUGUUGGUCCUGCAUCUGUGCCCAAGCUGCUGGGGAGGUUUGGGAAGGUUUGAGGAGCUUUGGGGUGUUUUGCUCUGGGGUAGCCUGAUGGCUGCUGGGUGCCUUUGUAAAUCUGUCUUCCCUCCCAGCCUCCUGGUUUUGUUUUAGGGUUUGAUGUGAGCAUCAGUGGGUUAUUCAACCCAUCUCCUGGAGCUGGAGGGGGUCUUUCCCUCCUAGGACACAUGCCAGGGCUGCUCCUCAGGGACUGCAGCACCGGGGUACAAACAGCCACUCAGAAACUGUGUUCAAAUCGAGAGGCUCAAACCCAGGCUUGCUUUGGUUCACCCAGGAGCCACGCAGGCUCUGCCCAUCCCCUGCUCACUUUAAAAUCUAUCCCUGGCUUCAGCACUGCCUGGCCUUUCAUAAGCACACAGGGAGAUUGUACAGAAAGCAGUAAUUGACCUUUAUGGAAUUAUUAAUUGAAACCCUAAUUGACAACGGUUUCGAAAGGAAAAGAAAAAAGAGAGGGGGUGAAAAAAGGCAAAUUAAAACACUUUUAAGGUCUCCAGGUUAGCUGGAAAUUGUUUCUUCAUGAUAUCUCUGGUUUCUUUCUCUUUCCCCCAGUGAAGCCCCUGUUCCUGCUCCCUGCUGCCCUCCCUCCUUGCAGAGGACUGACCUGUUUACAGCCAGCCUGGGGGAAGCCGGGGGCUCGGCUGGGGCACGGGGCUUCCUCACAGCAGCUUCACUGUAAAUAUUCUGCCUGUGCUUCGUUGAGAAAACUGAAAUGGAAAAAAGUUGUAUCUGUGAAAUAUGAAGCUAUAUAUGUAUAUAGAUAAACUGCGAAUUACCUGACUCGUUACUACGCUCUGUAAUCAAUGUAUAUGAAACUGUUUCACUGUAUGGCAGAACAUUUCACGCUAUCUUAGAUGUAGAAAAGCUGCGAAAAGUAACUCACAAUACACUAUGUCAACUUCAAA
Molecule: long non-coding RNA, 4185 nt
Organism: Calypte anna (Anna's hummingbird)
Lineage: Eukaryota; Metazoa; Chordata; Aves; Apodiformes; Trochilidae
Exons: 2
Source: RefSeq, a predicted model, not a curated record